This 837-nucleotide ribosomal RNA is filed under the name Talaromyces boninensis. Its description in RNAcentral is "partial large subunit ribosomal RNA". It matches the Rfam family "Eukaryotic large subunit ribosomal RNA", at positions 76 to 931 of the family's 3401-position model. The record is from RNAcentral. Lineage: Eukaryota; Fungi; Ascomycota; Eurotiomycetes; Eurotiales; Trichocomaceae.
UGCCUCAGUAACGGCGAGUGAAGCGGCAAGAGCUCAAAUUUGAAAUCUGGCCCCUCCGGGGUCCGAGUUGUAAUUUGCAGAGGAUGCUUCGGGAGCGGUCCCCGUCUAAGUGCCCUGGAACGGGCCGUCAUAGAGGGUGAGAAUCCCGUCUGGGAUGGGCGGCCGCGCCCGUGUGAAGCGCCUUCGACGAGUCGAGUUGUUUGGGAAUGCAGCUCUAAGUGGGUGGUAAAUUUCAUCUAAAGCUAAAUACUGGCCGGAGACCGAUAGCGCACAAGUAGAGUGAUCGAAAGAUGAAAAGCACUUUGAAAAGAGAGUUAAACAGCACGUGAAAUUGUUGAAAGGGAAGCGUUGUCCACCAGACUCGCCCGAGGGGGUUCAGCCGGCACUCGUGCCGGUGUACUCUCCCCCGGGCGGGCCAGCAUCGGUUUGGGCGGCUGGUGAAAGGCCCCGGGAAUGUAACACCCUCCGGGGUGCCUUAUAGCCCGGGGUGUCAUGCGGCCAGCCUGGACCGAGGCCCGCGCUUCGGCGAGGAUGCUGGCGUAAUGGUGGUCAACGGCCCGUCUUGAAACACGGACCAAGGAGUCUAACAUCUAUGCGAGUGUUCGGGUGUCAAACCCGUCCGCGCAGUGAAAGCGAACGGAGGUGGGAGCCUUUCGGGGUGCACCAUCGACCGAUCCUGAAGUCUUCGGAUGGAUUUGAGUAAGAGCAUAGCUGUUGGGACCCGAAAGAUGGUGAACUAUGCCUGAAUAGGGCGAAGCCAGAGGAAACUCUGGUGGAGGCUCGCAGCGGUUCUGACGUGCAAAUCGAUCGUCAAAUUUGGGUAUAGGGGCGAAAGAC